CACGUAGGGGGCGAGCGUUGUCCGGAAUCAUUGGGCGUAAAGCGCGUGUAGGCGGCUUUGCAAGUCGGGUGUGAAAGCCCUCAGCUCAACUGAGGAAGUGCGCCCGAAACUGCAGAGCUUGAGUACCGGAGAGGAUGGCGGAAUUCCCCAAGUAGAGGUGAAAUUCGUAGAUAUGGGGAGGAACACCGGUGGCGAAGGCGGCCAUCUGGACGGAUACUGACGCUGAGACGCGAAAGCGUGGGUAGCAAACAGG
This 253-nucleotide ribosomal RNA is filed under the name uncultured bacterium. RNAcentral describes it as "partial 16S ribosomal RNA". It matches the Rfam family "Bacterial small subunit ribosomal RNA", at positions 524 to 776 of the family's 1533-position model. The record is from RNAcentral.